This 447-nucleotide ribosomal RNA is filed under the name uncultured Planctomycetales bacterium. RNAcentral describes it as "bacterial SSU rRNA". It matches the Rfam family "Bacterial small subunit ribosomal RNA", at positions 922 to 1364 of the family's 1533-position model. The record is from RNAcentral. Lineage: Bacteria; Pseudomonadati; Planctomycetota; Planctomycetia; Planctomycetales.
UCACACAAGCGGUGGAGCAUGUGGCUUAAUUCGAAGCAACGCGAAGAACCUUAUCCUAGGUUUGACAUACACGGAUUAGCUAUAAGAAACUAUAGUGACACCUUCGGGUGGAACGUGAACAGGUGCUGCAUGGCUGUCGUCAGCUCGUGCUGUGAAGUGUCGGGUUAAGUCCCUUAACGAGCGCAACCCUUAUCGUUAGUUGCUAACAGGUAAUGCUGAGGACUCUAGCGAGACUGCCGGUGUUAAACCGGAGGAAGGUGGGGAUGACGUCAAGUCCGCAUGGCCUUUAUGCCUAGGGCUGCACACGUGCUACAAUGGCAAGUACAGAACGAUGCAAUACCGCGAGGUGGAGCAAAUCGCUAAAGCUUGCCCCAGCUCGGAUUGCAGGCUGCAACUCGCCUGCAUGAAGUUGGAAUCGCUAGUAAUCGCGGAUCAGCAUCCGCGGUG